GUGCCAGCCGCCGCGGUAAUACGUAGGGUGCAAGCGUUAAUCGGAAUUACUGGGCGUAAAGCGUGCGCAGGCGGUUUUGUAAGUCUGUCGUGAAAGCCCCGGGCUUAACCUGGGAAUUGCGAUGGAGACUGCAAGGCUUGAAUCUGGCAGAGGGGGGUAGAAUUCCACGUGUAGCAGUGAAAUGCGUAGAGAUGUGGAGGAACACCGAUGGCGAAGGCAGCCCCCUGGGUCAAGAUUGACGCUCAUGCACGAAAGCGUGGGGAGCAAACAG
Molecule: ribosomal RNA, 271 nt
Filed under: uncultured Burkholderiales bacterium
Lineage: Bacteria; Pseudomonadati; Pseudomonadota; Betaproteobacteria; Burkholderiales
Description: partial 16S ribosomal RNA
Rfam family: Bacterial small subunit ribosomal RNA
Source: RNAcentral